This 452-nucleotide unclassified non-coding RNA is filed under the name Bombus terrestris (buff-tailed bumblebee). RNAcentral's name for it is "misc RNA ENSBTSG00005021585.1". Lineage: Eukaryota; Metazoa; Arthropoda; Insecta; Hymenoptera; Apidae. The record is from RNAcentral.
AAAAUUACCGUCGAAACUGAAUCGUUCCAAGGUAGUUGUCGAAUUAUCAUUGGCUAAAGCUGGCGGGCGUAAUAAAGAGGAGCCGUUUGAAGGAGAAACGAAGGUACGUAAAAGCGAGAAGAAGGACGGUAUUCGAGUCUUAACAAGCACUUUCGUUCUCAUUACUAACGCGUCACGAACGUUAAACACAGCACUGAAAAUUUUCUUCCUCCGGUCCCUGCAACAGUCCAUUCGAUUCUACAACAAUCGCUAUCCCGUUAACGCUAAUUCACUUCUACAACGAGUCACGGCUCGCUGCGCGGACACAAUUACGUCCAGGACGGAAGACCCAUCGCUGAAUGCUGAAUGGCAAGAUUGUACGACCUAAAAUACGCGUCCAGAUGAAUAGGGAAUCCUCCACUCUUUAGGAAUUGAAUAAGUUUUUCAGUCCGGGAUUUAGACGUAACGAUCAU